This 85-nucleotide transfer RNA is filed under the name Microcaldota archaeon. Its description in RNAcentral is "tRNA-Leu". It matches the Rfam family "tRNA". Rfam says of the family: Transfer RNA (tRNA) molecules are approximately 80 nucleotides in length. Their secondary structure includes four short double-helical elements and three loops (D, anti-codon, and T loops). The record is from RNAcentral. Lineage: Archaea; Nanobdellati; Microcaldota.
GCCGAGGUGGCGGAAUUGGUAUACGCGUACGCUUGAGGUGCGUAUGGGGAAACCCGUGCGGGUUCAAGUCCCGCUCUCGGCACCA